Molecule: ribosomal RNA, 476 nt
Filed under: uncultured bacterium
Lineage: Bacteria
Description: partial 16S ribosomal RNA
Rfam family: Bacterial small subunit ribosomal RNA
Source: RNAcentral
UGAACGCUGGCGGCGUGCUUAACACAUGCAAGUCGAACGGGAAACCUUUUAUUUAAGCUUCGGCAGAUUUAGCUGGUUUCUAGUGGCGGACGGGUGAGUAACGCGUGGGUAACCUGCCUUAUUCCGGGGGAUAACAACCCGCAAUGGUUGCUAAUACCGCCUAAGCGCCCAGGACCGCCUUGUCCGGUUUUAACAACUCCGGUGGUAUAAGAUGGACCCGCGUUGGAUUAGCUAGUUGGCAGGGUAACGGCCUACCAAGGCGACGAUCCAUAGCCGGCCUGAGAGGGUGAACGGCCACAGGGGGACGGAGACACGGCCCAGAAUCCUACGGGAGGAAGCAGUGGGGAAGAGUGCACAAUGGGGGAAACCCUGAUGCAGCGACGCCGCGUGAAGGAAGAAGUAUCUCGGGAUGUAAACUUCUAUAAGCAGGGAAGAUAGUGACGGUACCUGACGAAGAAGCCCCGGCUAACUACGUG